CGCCGCCUACGGGGCGCAGCAGUAGGGAAUCUUCCACAAUGGACGAAAGUCUGAUGGAGCAACGCCGCGUGAGUGAAGAAGGGUUUCGGCUCGUAAAGCUCUGUUGGUAGUGAAGAAAGAUAGAGGUAGUAACUGGCCUUUAUUUGACGGUAAUUACUUAGAAAGUCACGGCUAACUACGUGCCAGCAGCCGCGGUAAUACGUAGGUGGCAAGCGUUAUCCGGAAUUAUUGGGCGUAAAGAGGG
This 244-nucleotide ribosomal RNA is filed under the name uncultured bacterium. Its description in RNAcentral is "partial 16S ribosomal RNA". It matches the Rfam family "Bacterial small subunit ribosomal RNA", at positions 332 to 569 of the family's 1533-position model. The record is from RNAcentral.